Molecule: long non-coding RNA, 1306 nt
Organism: Ictalurus punctatus (channel catfish)
Lineage: Eukaryota; Metazoa; Chordata; Actinopteri; Siluriformes; Ictaluridae
Source: Ensembl
CGAAAACGCAGCUUUUAUUUAAUAAAAAGAUGCACGAGGUUCCCUUUUCGUCCGUGAUGUUAAAGUUAAAGUCGGAUUUAAGGUUUAGACCAGAGUCGAUCGGCGGCGUUCAUAAUCAUUUCUGUGGAAUGUCCUCACGAGGAUAGUGCAAGUAGUACAAGGGCGUGGGUGUGUGCGUGUGCGUGUGCGUGUAAGUGUGCGUGCAAGUGUGUGUCAAUGAACAGAGGAAAAAAAACAGAUAGAGAAACAAUUAUUAAUUAUUUUGAGCAAGUCAAGGAGCACUUGAGUGACAGAUUAUUUCCGUGUGUGUGUGUGUGUGAAUGAAUAUCAGGAAUGAAUAAAUAGUAAAAUGCGACACAGCACUAUCAUCUCUCAGUGAUGUUGCCUUAAUGUCCUUGGUGCUUGAAUUCAUGAGAAGAAACUCCUUUAAAAAAUAAAAUCCUUUCCACACUAACCUGUUUGAAUCCUUUUCUUUUCACUGCCUCCGCUCGCUCCUGGCGUAGGUGUGUUUGUGUCACAGUGUUUGGCUACGUUCACAUUCCUGUGCUCCGGGGCUCGGCUGACAGCUCAUCAUCCGUUCACGAUCGGGUCAAGGUCCUGUUUUUACUCCUAUUGAAGGUUUCUCAGCUGCCGACGGACGAUGACGACGACGGCAGCGAUGUGCACGCGCGCAGCACGACGCCCUGAAUCUCUCAGCAUCACAGGUUGUAGUUGCAUCAGGACAUUUUUAGUCAAGAUCAGUGUCACAUUUGUGGCAGUUUAACUUUGUAAUGCGAAGGAGAUUGCUCUCACGGUGGAAUGAACAUCUCAGAGUUUGAGCUUGACCUAUCUGUCACGCGCACACGAGAGAAACCGCCGUCCGGAGAUCUAGCGCAGCUGUGAUUGAACAAGCAUGGCAGUGGAGUUAGCGUGAGGGAAGGAAUAAAAGAGGAGGAGAACGAUUCUAACAGGAGAGAGAGGUUUAACAGGACCCUCUGUGUUAAGCAAAGCUGACUCGAUCCGGCAGGUGGAAAGUUUAAUGCAAAACAAGGCAGGAUUUUUACUGUGUAACUCUCUACUGACAUUGCACGAACAUACUCAACACACACACACACACACACACACACUGUAGGCUUUUAUUUAAGGCUGCUUGUUGACACAGCAGGGUCAAUUUACGGGGUGGAGAAAACUAUGUGAUGCACACACUUAAUCCUCUGUAUUUAAGAGGGUGUGUGUGUCUGUGUUUAUGUGUUGCAUGCAAUCACAAGUGGUCGUAUAUGCAAGUGUUUCUUCUUCACAGCGAAUCGUCACUUGCCAUUAAACUGUG